This is a long non-coding RNA of Lycium ferocissimum, 464 nucleotides long. RefSeq lists it as uncharacterized. NCBI's taxonomy places the organism in Eukaryota, Viridiplantae, Streptophyta, Magnoliopsida, Solanales, Solanaceae. The record is from RefSeq and is a predicted model, not a curated record. The transcript has 2 exons.
GGUAACCACCAUUCCAACCAUAUCAAUCUUCAAGAACCAUUAACACGGAACGCAUAAAUCCCUCAAACAUUUUUAAAGUUUUAAUAAUUAUUGUCUUCAAAAGCAACAUGCUUUAAUAGGAGAGAAAGAGACAAAGAAAAACUUUUUUAUGCAGAGAGAAGGAGAAAGAAGGGCCAAAAGAAGUCGUGCAAAAUAUGCAACCACUGAUUCCAUGAGGAUACUAAUCCAACACAUCGACAUAACCAGAAACCGGCAAUCUAUACAUGCUUCAAAGAUGUUAAAUUACCUUCAUCAUCGCUAUCAUCAAGGUCAUCCCCCAUAUCACCUCCCAUUCCACCCAUCAUUGAAGCCAUAUCACCCAUUCCACCCAUUCCGCCCAUUCCACCCAUCAUGCCACCCAUUCCGCCCAUCAUUCCACCCAUUCCGCCCAUUCCACCCAUCAUUGAAGCCAUAUCACCACCUCC